RNAcentral lists this ribosomal RNA (301 nucleotides) under uncultured bacterium. RNAcentral describes it as "partial 16S ribosomal RNA". It matches the Rfam family "Bacterial small subunit ribosomal RNA", at positions 509 to 807 of the family's 1533-position model. The record is from RNAcentral.
CAGUAGCCGCGGUAAUACGUAGGGUGCGAGCGUUAAUCGGAAUUACUGGGCGUAAAGCGUGCGCAGGCGGUUCGUUAAGACAGAUGUGAAAUCCCCGGGCUUAACCUGGGAACUGCAUUUGUGACUGGCGAGCUAGAGUAUGGCAGAGGGGGGUAGAAUUCCACGUGUAGCAGUGAAAUGCGUAGAGAUGUGGAGGAAUACCGAUGGCGAAGGCAGCCCCCUGGGCCUAUACUGACGCUCAUGCACGAAAGCGUGGGGAGCAAACAGGAUUAGAUACCCGGGUAGUCCCUGUCUCUUAUAC